UACGGAGGGUGCAAGCAUUAAUCGGAUUUAUUGGGCGUAAAGGGCGCGUAGGCGGGAAAGAAAGUUAGAUGUGAAAGCCUGAGGCUUAACUUCAGAACAGCAUCUAAAACUCCUUUUCUAGAGGAUGAGCGGGGAAAAUGGAAUUCCACAUGUAGCGGUGAAAUGCGUAGAUAUGUGGAGGAACACCGGUGGCGAAGGCGAUUUUCUAGCUUAGACCUGACGCUGAGGCGCGAAAGCAAGGGGAGCAAACAGG
This 253-nucleotide ribosomal RNA is filed under the name uncultured bacterium. RNAcentral's name for it is "partial 16S ribosomal RNA". It matches the Rfam family "Bacterial small subunit ribosomal RNA", at positions 524 to 776 of the family's 1533-position model. The record is from RNAcentral.